GUCGCUCGGUACUACAACUCCAGAGUUCAGAAUAAGGUCUUCAGAGUCAGCGACUUAGUUUUAUGCAGAGCAGAAAUUUCUCAACCUGACAAACAUGGCAAGCUAGCCCCAAAUAGGAGGGUCCAUAUCAAAUAGAUGAAAUCAUCAAGCUAGAAACCUACCGACUGAAUCAACUAGAUGGAACCCCACUCUUCCGAUCAUAAAAUUUGAAAAAUCUGAGUGUACUAUCAGUA
RNAcentral lists this long non-coding RNA (233 nucleotides) under Elaeis guineensis (African oil palm). RNAcentral's name for it is "long non-coding RNA (EGUI_LNC044125)". The record is from RNAcentral. Lineage: Eukaryota; Viridiplantae; Streptophyta; Magnoliopsida; Arecales; Arecaceae.